UUGCUUUGGUAGCACAUGUAGUAAAAUUGGAACGAUACAGAGAAGAUUAGCAUGGUCCCUGCACAAGGAUGACACACAAAUUCGCGAAGUGUUCCAUACUUUU
RNAcentral lists this small nuclear RNA (103 nucleotides) under Pteropus vampyrus (large flying fox). The record is from RNAcentral. Lineage: Eukaryota; Metazoa; Chordata; Mammalia; Chiroptera; Pteropodidae.